GAUGAACGCUGGCGGCGUGCCUAAUACAUGCAAGUCGAGCGAACGGACGAGAAGCUUGCUUCUCUGAUGUUAGCGGCGGACGGGUGAGUAACACGUGGAUAACCUACCUAUAAGACUGGGAUAACUUCGGGAAACCGGAGCUAAUACUGGAUAAUAUUUUGAACCGCAUGGUUCAAAAGUGAAAGACGGUCUUGCUGUCACUUAUAGAUGGAUCCGCGCUGCAUUAGCUAGUUGGUAAGGUAACGGCUUACCAAGGCAACGAUGCAUAGCCGACCUGAGAGGGUGAUCGGCCACACUGGAACUGAGACACGGUCCAGACUCCUACGGGAGGCAGCAGUAGGGAAUCUUCCGCAAUGGGCGAAAGCCUGACGGAGCAACGCCGCGUGAGUGAUGAAGGUCUUCGGAUCGUAAAGCUCUGUUAUUAGGGAAGAACAUAUGUGUAAGUAACUGUGCACAUCUUGACGGUACCUAAUCAGAAAGCCACGGCUAACUACGUG
RNAcentral lists this ribosomal RNA (497 nucleotides) under uncultured bacterium. RNAcentral describes it as "partial 16S ribosomal RNA". It matches the Rfam family "Bacterial small subunit ribosomal RNA", at positions 28 to 507 of the family's 1533-position model. The record is from RNAcentral.